CCUACGGUGGUAGAAGUGAGGAAGAGUGGUCAAGGGACGCAAGUCGGAACCAGCCAGGCCGCGUGCAGGAAGACGGCUCUAUGAGUUGUAAACUGCUUUUGUACGAGGGUAAACGCAGAUACGCGUAUCUGUCUGAAAGUAUCGUACGAAUAAGGAUCGGCUAACUCCGUGCCAGCAGCCGCGGUAAUACGGAGGAUUCAAGCGUUAUCCGGAUUUAUUGGGUUUAAAGGGUGCGUAGGCGGUCGGAUAAGUUAGAGGUGAAAUCCCGAGGCUCAACUUCGGAAUUGCCUCUGAUACUGUUCGGCUAGAGAGUAGUUGCGGUAGGCGGAAUGUAUGGUGUAGCGGUGAAAUGCUUAGAGAUCAUACAGAACACCGAUUGCGAAGGCAGCUUACCGGCGCUCAACUGACGCUCAUGCACGAAAGCGUGGGUAUCGAACAGGAUUAGAUACCCGUGUAGUC
RNAcentral lists this ribosomal RNA (459 nucleotides) under uncultured bacterium. RNAcentral's name for it is "partial 16S ribosomal RNA". It matches the Rfam family "Bacterial small subunit ribosomal RNA", at positions 338 to 795 of the family's 1533-position model. The record is from RNAcentral.